GAUGAACGCUGGCGGCGUGCCUAACACAUGCAAGUCGAACGAAUCAGAUAUUCAACACUGAGUAUUUAGACGAAGGAAAAAAGUUAGCCAGCGUCAAGGACGAACGAUAGAGAGUCCUUUACGCGUUCAAAAAGUGUGCUAACACAUGAUAGUCUGAAUGUUGAGUGUUGAAUAUCUGAUUAGUGGCGGACGGGUGAGUAACGCGUGGGAAACCUGCCCUAUACAGGGGGAUAGCCUCGGGAAACUGGGAUUAAUACCCCAUAAAACUCUAGUAUCGCAUGAUACAUGAGCCAAAGAUUUAUCGGUAUAGGAUGGUCCCGCGUCUGAUUAGCUAGUUGGUGAGGUAACGGCUCACCGAGGCGACGAUCAGUAGCCGGCCUGAGAGGGUGAACGGCCACACUGGAACUGAGACACGGUCCAGACUCCUACGGGAGGCAGCAGUGGGGAAUAUUGCACAAGUGGGGGAAACCCUGAUGCAGCGACGCCG
Molecule: ribosomal RNA, 487 nt
Filed under: uncultured bacterium
Lineage: Bacteria
Description: bacterial SSU rRNA
Rfam family: Bacterial small subunit ribosomal RNA
Source: RNAcentral